RNAcentral lists this ribosomal RNA (601 nucleotides) under uncultured fungus. RNAcentral's name for it is "eukaryotic LSU rRNA". It matches the Rfam family "Eukaryotic large subunit ribosomal RNA", at positions 1 to 601 of the family's 3401-position model. Lineage: Eukaryota; Fungi. The record is from RNAcentral.
UUGACCUCAGAUCAGGUAGGACUACCGCCUGAACUUAAGCAUAUCAAUAAGGCGAGGAACAGAAACCAACAGGGAUUCCCCUAGUAGUGGCGAAUGAAGCGGGAAAAGCUCAAGUUUGAAAUCUGGUGGGCUCGUCCCCUCAGAGUUGUAAGCUGAAGAGGCAUUGACCGACGUUGUCCGGGCCCAAUUUCCUUGGAACAGGAAGUCAUGGAGGGUGAGAACCCCGUCUGUGGCUCGGAGCCUUCGUCCUUGUGUCGUGUCCUCGAAGAGUCGGGUUGUUUGGGAAUGCAGCUCAAAAUGGGUGGUAAAUUCCAUCUAAGGCUAAAUAUUGGCGAGAGACCGAUAGCAAACAAGUAGAGUGAUCGAAAGAUGAAAAGUACUUUGAAAAGAGAGUGAAACAGUACGUGAAAUUGUUGAAAGGGAAGCGUUUGGCAUCAGCCCAUGGCGUUCAUCAAUCAUCCAGGCUUCUGCCUGGUGCACUUGAUGGACGUCGGGCCAGCGUCGGCUUUGCCCGCCGGAUAAAGGUCUUGGGGAUGUGGCACCCUUCGGGGUGCGUUAUAACCCUUGACGUCAUGCGGUGUGGUGGGGCCGAGGUCUGCGG